UGGGGAAUCUUGCACAAUGGGCGAAAGCCUGAUGCAGCAACGCCGCGUGCGGGAAGACAGCCCUAGGGUUGUAAACCGCUUUCAGCAGGGAAGAAACUGACGGUACCUGCAGAAGAAGAUGCGGCCAACUACGUGCCAGCAGCCGCGGUGACACGUAGGCAUCAAGCGUUAUCCGGAUUUAUUGGGCGUAAAGAGCUCGUAGGCGGUUCGGUAAGUCGGGUGUGAAAACUCUGGGCUCAACCCAGAGAGGCCACUCGAUACUGCUGUGACUAGAGUGCGGUAGGGGAGCGGGGAAUUCCUGGUGUAGCGGUGAAAUGCGCAGAUAUCAGGAGGAACACCAGUGGCGAAGGCGCCGCUCUGGGCCGUAACUGACGCUGAGGAGCGAAAGCAUGGGUAGCAAACAGGAUUAGAUACCCUGGUAGUCCAUGCCGUAAACGUUGGCACUAGUGUGGGUCUCAACCAACGAGAUCCGCGCCGUCGCUAACGCAUUAAGUGCCCGCCUGGGAGUACGGUCGCAAGACU
This 522-nucleotide ribosomal RNA is filed under the name uncultured bacterium. RNAcentral's name for it is "bacterial SSU rRNA". It matches the Rfam family "Bacterial small subunit ribosomal RNA", at positions 355 to 895 of the family's 1533-position model. The record is from RNAcentral.